Molecule: ribosomal RNA, 503 nt
Filed under: uncultured bacterium
Lineage: Bacteria
Description: partial 16S ribosomal RNA
Rfam family: Bacterial small subunit ribosomal RNA
Source: RNAcentral
AACGAACGCUGGCGGCGUGCCUAACACAUGCAAGUCGAACGAGAAAGGGGCUUCGGCUCCGAGUAAAGUGGCGCACGGGUGAGUAACACGUGGGUAACCUGCCUCUAAGAUUGGGAUAACUCGUCGAAAGAUGAGCUAAUACCGAAUAAGACCACAGUUCCCGCGGGAACAGGGGUCAAAGGUAGCCUCUGCUUGCAAGCUAUCACUUAGAGAUGGGCCUGCGCACCAUUAGCUAGUUGGUAGGGUAACGGCCUACCAAGGCAAAGAUGGUUAGCUGGUCUGCGAGGAUGAUCAGCCCAACUGGAACUGAGACACGGUCCAGACUCCUACGGGAGGCAGCAGUGGGGAAUAUUGCGCAAUGGGCGAAAGCUUGACGCAGCAACGCCGCGUGAGUGAUGAAGGCCUUCGGGUCGUAAAGCUCUGUCGGGAGGAACGAAUGCUCCUGAGGUUAACAGCCUCGGGAGGUGACGGUACCUUCAAAGGAAGCACCGGCUAACUCUGUG